GCCUGGGUGGCCCAGUUGGUUGGGCAUCUGACUUCGGCUCAGGUCAUGAUCUUGAGGUUCGUGAGUUCGAGCCCCACAUUGGGCU
RNAcentral lists this transfer RNA (85 nucleotides) under Felis catus (domestic cat). It matches the Rfam family "tRNA". From Rfam's summary of the family: Transfer RNA (tRNA) molecules are approximately 80 nucleotides in length. Their secondary structure includes four short double-helical elements and three loops (D, anti-codon, and T loops). Further hydrogen bonds mediate the characteristic L-shaped molecular structure. tRNAs have two regions of fundamental functional importance: the anti-codon, which is responsible for specific mRNA codon recognition, and the 3' end, to which the tRNAs corresponding amino acid is attached (by aminoacyl-tRNA synthetases). tRNAs cope with the degeneracy of the genetic code in two manners: having more than one tRNA (with a specific anti-codon) for a particular amino acid; and 'wobble' base-pairing, i.e. permitting non-standard base-pairing at the 3rd anti-codon position. Lineage: Eukaryota; Metazoa; Chordata; Mammalia; Carnivora; Felidae. The record is from Rfam by way of RNAcentral.